RNAcentral lists this ribosomal RNA (253 nucleotides) under uncultured bacterium. Its description in RNAcentral is "partial 16S ribosomal RNA". It matches the Rfam family "Bacterial small subunit ribosomal RNA", at positions 524 to 776 of the family's 1533-position model. The record is from RNAcentral.
UACGGAGGGUGCAAGCGUUAUCCGGAUUCACUGGGUUUAAAGGGUGCGUAGGCGGGUAAGUAAGUCCGUGGUGAAAUCUCUGAGCUUAACUCAGAAACUGCCGUGGAUACUAUUUGCCUUGAAUAUUGUGGAGGUGAGCGGAAUAUGUCAUGUAGCGGUGAAAUGCUUAGAUAUGACAUAGAACACCAAUUGCGAAGGCAGCUCACUACACAAUCAUUGACACUGAGGCACGAAAGCGUGGGGAUCAAACAGG